CAGUCCCAGCACCAACAUCAAGUACCACUUUAUCCUUGAAUAAAAAUUUAUUCUGGUAAAUAACAUUUUGGUAUGUUUUAGUUCUCACAACAUCCUUCAGCAUUUCCUGCAGUGUAAGGGUGGGUGGGGAAACAUCAACAACAAGCAAAGUACAUAAACAUAUCACCAGACAAUCAACUCAAUGAAUUUUUUAGAAUUCUAGAUAUCAAGAUAUAAAAACAAAAGGAAAAAGAAAAAAUUGAUCUCAACCAAAAGUGACAAAAUAAUAUAGAUACAAAAAGUUAAACAAUAAACCUGCGGAUACAAGAAGGUGAUUAACAAAAUCUUAACUGAUAAAAUGCAGAGAAAGCCGCAGAAAAAAAUCCAAGUAUAUCAUAUAAUAACAAGUGCUAGUGGGUAUUGUGAUAUAAAAAUAAUAACAAAACAGCAACAUCAAGUUACAAAAACUUUAUCCAGUUACGAGACACUUACUUCAUGAAUACCUGCAAAAAAAAGAAGAAGAAAAGAGGUUAAGACAGAUACAAAAACUUUCUACGCCAAAGACCCCAUUCAUUACGAGUAUAAAACAUAAAAUUUUUUAAAGUCAACUGAACCUAGUAUGCACUUGAGAGGGGUGGGGGGGAGACAAAACACAAACGAAGGGAGGAUAAAAAAGAAAAGCGAGCCAAGGAGAGUAGUAUUACCAAAGUGAGAGUAAGAAUCGAAGUAAUAAUCGGCGCUGGUUUUAUCAUCAUCGCAGCCGUCGACAAAGGAGACAUCGGGGUCUUGCAUAGAUACGUCAUCAAUAGCAAU
This 792-nucleotide long non-coding RNA is filed under the name Populus tremula. RNAcentral's name for it is "long non-coding RNA (PTRE_LNC001532)". The record is from RNAcentral. Lineage: Eukaryota; Viridiplantae; Streptophyta; Magnoliopsida; Malpighiales; Salicaceae.